GAUACUCUCUGCUACGUUCUGCGUUCUGCGCAAGCCCGAGUCUUUGGCCCCACCCCGCCCCCAGGAGACGGUCUUCCCUGGCGAACUCGGCCAACCAUGGUGAAUUUGGGCCUGUCCCGAGUGGAUGACGCAGUGGCCGCCAAGCACCCGGGACUCGAGGAAUAUGCCGUGUGCCAGUCGAACGCCUUCAUGAAGGGCGUUUUCACCUUUGUCACAGGCACUGGUGCGACUUUCGGUCUGCAGCUGUUCAUUAAGCGGAAAUUUCCAUACCCUGUCCAGUGGAACUUUCUGGUGUCUGCCGUUGUAGGGUCUGUGGCCAGCUACAAGGUGACAAGAAUGGAGUCUCAGAAAUGCAGAGAUCUCUGGCUCUUCCUGGAGACAGGGAAACUCCCCAAAGACAUGAGCACAGACCAUCAAGACUAGAAGAGCUCUGGCUGCUGGGGUGUGGAGGAUCUGUCUCGGAGAAAUCCUGGAGCACAGACUUUGACCCCAUCUAACUACAGGGCAGAACAGAGUUAGCUGCUGCCAGAGUCCAGGCAGGGGCAUGAGUCAUGCCCACCCACUUGGCAUCAGUGAAGCCCCUUCUCCAAGAAGUAAGAAGCAGCAGAGCUCCAAAGGAAAUGGCUGGGGGAGUGAGACCACCCAUACCAACCAGCCCCAUUAAAAAGAACAGAGAUGGUCCCAACCUUGGCAUUCCAGGAGCACAAAGACUUGGUCUUGGCCUGCUUGUACACCUCUACCAAGCUUGUCAAUCGGAAGUCUAUGAGAAUAAAGUGGUGGGCAAAGUGGCAGUAGGCCUCACAUAGUAGAAGCUUGAGCCAACUUAGAUUUCUUGUAGAAAUCUAGGUAAGUGGUCUAUCAGUGUGUGUGCUGUUGCCAACAACAUACCACAGACUUGGACAGAUUAUAAUAAUUAAAAAACAUGUUUUAGCCCAUGGUUCUGGAGGCCCAAGGCCCAACAGCCAUUUGGUGGUGGCUGUCAUUCUGGCAGAGUCCAGACACAUCACAGGUCAUAUGGCCAGAAAGAGAGCAUACAUGUCGCUUCCUCUUCCUAUAAAGUCAUCAAGGUUUGACCAUGGUGGCUCUACCCUGGUAACUUCAAUUCUUAUCAUCUCUCAAAAGCCCUACCUUGAAUGACACAGUCCUAUUUUCUACCCUCUUAAAACCUCACAAUGGGGUGGAGGUGGGGGUAAACUCCAGCAUGAGCUUUGGAGGACAAGCCAUCUUCAGACCCUGGCAGUGUCUUAAAAGCUGUUCUGGGGCCAGGGACCCAGGCUUCCCUCAAUCUCUUCCCUGUUGUAAUGGCUCCCACUUCUCAACCUAGCUCAUUGUGCCAGGUGGCUUCACCAGCUCCAGCUACUGCAUCUUCAUCCCAUUUAACAGAAAGAAGAAAGGAAGAGGACAGUUCUUCCACCAUGUCUGUAUACAUACUACCGGCCAGAACUAAGACACAUGGUACAUCUACUGAAAGGAAACCCAGGAAGGCAGCCUUGCUCUAGACAGCCAUUUGUCCCACUACAAUUCAGGAGUUCUGUAUCUGAGGGAAAAGAAAGAGUCAAUACUAGGGGAUAUAAGUUGACUCCGCCUCAGCUGGAUACCAAGCUGGGACACCAAAAUCUAGGGAGGUAAGGUUAGCAGCUAUGGCCAUCGCAGGUCCUUCCAGCCCUCUUGAGGAUGAGGCGUAGACCAGAAGGGAGGCAGAUGGUAAACAGAGUUUAGACUGUACAGGAAAGUGUCUAAAAGGUAAGGGAUCCUUGUGAGAAGGCAGGAAGAUAGACACUAAUGUGCCCUGUGUUAUACACAUGGUCUGACUACAUAACCCCCCAAAUUCAUAUACUCAAGUCCUAGCCCACAGGAUCUCAGAAGGCAACUACUGGAGAUGAACCCUUUAAUGAAGUCAUUAGGGCUAACUGAUGCUAUGGGUCUAAUCAGUCUUUCUGGCAUCCUUAUAAGAGGAGACUGCGACACAGAUGGGCACAGAGGGACAACCACGUGAGAUCACAGGAACAGAAAGCAUUGACAGCAGAGGGGAAACACAGCAGAAGAACCAGCCAUUGGACACCCUGACCCAGCCUUCUACUCACAGACUGAAGAAUAAAUGUCUGAAGAGUCUCUGGUGUCCAAUGGAGCUCCUGAAGCAGCAACCUCAAGACUCAUUUCCAUUAGGGCAAGUACCCAGAGGUGUCCCUGAGGAUGAAUUUGAAAGGGUGAAUUCCAGAAGGAUGGAAUUUCAGGGUUCCCAGGGCAUUGAGAACCUUGGUCCCGUCACAAUGACCUGAAAUUCCAAGGACAAUCUCAACCUAGGCUCAGUUGAGCAGGCAACUGCACAGGGAGGGCGAAAGGCGCACAGGGCCCCUGGAGGACCUUUAGGCCCACCAUGAAGAUUCACAAUGAAGUGGCUAAAGCGACUGUGGAGGCGCAAAUACAGGAGCUAAGGACCAUCACUAGGCUCCAGGGUGAGCCUCACACUGAGGACUGCCACUCUGGCAACUUGCCAUUCUACUACCCACCCAGGCCCCCACAGUGGGCAAAAGUCACAGAAGGGUCUGUUGUGUGAGGGGAGUUUCAAGGAGAUUUGUGUAUUUACCACAAUAUUGUUCCAAAGUUGGAGGGGUGGAGGAGGGGUCUGCCUGUUUCUGGGCACAGAAGCUCUGAAAGAGACAGGGUUCCCCAUCCCUGGUCUUAGCUUCCCCCCUCCCCCUCUUUACUGCCCAGUAUCCAUCUCUGGAGAGCCUUGCAGAUUACCACUUUGAGUGGAGAAGCCUGAGUCUUCCAGAACAGGAAGGGGAAAGAGGAGAGAAAUGGUCACAGAGGCGAUGCCGUAUUCCACCAGGCUCUCUGGGUAUUUUGCUGAGAUUCCCAGUCAGUCCUUUGGCCUACUGUCUGGUAAUCUUGUUCCCUCUGUCACCUACAGAACAAUGUCGGGCGCUCCAGAUCCAGAGUGUGAAGGAGAAGACAGCACAGAA
Non-coding RNA from Cricetulus griseus (Chinese hamster), 2966 nucleotides. NCBI's taxonomy places the organism in Eukaryota, Metazoa, Chordata, Mammalia, Rodentia, Cricetidae. The record is from RefSeq and is a predicted model, not a curated record.